CCUACGGGGGGCAGCAGUGGGGAAUAUUGGACAAUGGGGGAAACCCUGAUCCAGCGACGCCGCGUGAGUGAAGAAGUAUUUCGGUACGUAAAGCUCUAUCAGCAGGAAAGAAAAUGACGGUACCUGACCAAGAAGCCCCGCCUAACUACGUGCCAGCAGCCGCGGUAAUGCGUAGGGGGCAAGCGUUAUCCGGAUUUACUGGGUGUAAAGGGAGCGUAGACGGCAGCGCAAGUCUGGAGUGAAAUGCCGGGGCCCAACCCCGGAACUGCUCUGGAAACUGUGAAGCUGGAGUGCAGGAGAGGUAAGCGGAAUUCCUGGUGUAGCGGUGAAAUGCGUAGAUAUCAGGAGGAACACCGGCGGCGAAGGCGGCUUACUGGACUGUAACUGACGUUGAGGCUCGAAGGCGUGGGGAGCAAACAGGAUUAGAUACCCCAGUAGUC
RNAcentral lists this ribosomal RNA (440 nucleotides) under uncultured bacterium. RNAcentral describes it as "partial 16S ribosomal RNA". It matches the Rfam family "Bacterial small subunit ribosomal RNA", at positions 338 to 795 of the family's 1533-position model. The record is from RNAcentral.